GGUGAAAUGGCUGAGUUGUAAGCAAUAAAUUGUAAAUUUAUUAACGAAAUUAUUUCUUUCACCA
RNAcentral lists this transfer RNA (64 nucleotides) under Pyrrhidium sanguineum. RNAcentral describes it as "tRNA-Tyr". It matches the Rfam family "tRNA". From Rfam's summary of the family: Transfer RNA (tRNA) molecules are approximately 80 nucleotides in length. The record is from RNAcentral. Lineage: Eukaryota; Metazoa; Arthropoda; Insecta; Coleoptera; Cerambycidae.